GACGAACGCUGGCGGCGUGCCUAAUACAUGCAAGUUGAGCGCUGAAGGUUGGUACUUGUACCAACUGGAUGAGCAGCGAACGGGUGAGUAACGCGUGGGGAAUCUGCCUUUGAGCGGGGGACAACAUUUGGAAACGAAUGCUAAUACCGCAUAAAAACUUUAAACACAAGUUUUAAGUUUGAAAGAUGCAAUUGCAUCACUCAAAGAUGAUCCCGCGUUGUAUUAGCUAGUUGGUGAGGUAAAGGCUCACCAAGGCGAUGAUACAUAGCCGACCUGAGAGGGUGAUCGGCCACAUUGGGACUGAGACACGGCCCAAACUCCUACGGGAGGCAGCAGUAGGGAAUCUUCGGCAAUGGACGAAAGUCUGACCGAGCAACGCCGCGUGAGUGUAGAAGGUUUUCGGAUCGUAAAACUCUGUUGGUAGAGAAGAACGUUGGUGAGAGUGGAAAGCUCAUCAAGUGACGGUAACUACCCAGAAAGGGACGGCUAACUACGUG
Molecule: ribosomal RNA, 497 nt
Filed under: uncultured bacterium
Lineage: Bacteria
Description: partial 16S ribosomal RNA
Rfam family: Bacterial small subunit ribosomal RNA
Source: RNAcentral